Long non-coding RNA from Physella acuta, 426 nucleotides. RefSeq lists it as uncharacterized. Lineage: Eukaryota; Metazoa; Mollusca; Gastropoda; Physidae. The record is from RefSeq and is a predicted model, not a curated record.
UGUACAAACAUCCAAAUGUUUCUACUUCGAUUUCUUUUUGGGUGCAUGUGAUAUUUACACCAGCAAGGACCAGGUUGACACUUCAAUCAACCAAGACGCCGAAGCCUUUGUGUUUUGUCAAUACGAGGAACAACGUUGCACACCUUUUGAGACGUACAUCAUUUCUUCAAUUGGAGCUAGCACCACUCAUGAUGAAUGUUACCAGCUUUCCUUAAACGACCCAAAGUCUGUUGGCUAUAAUUAUGUGAGUGGUGUUUGCAAGCUGAAAAUUGGCAUAAAAGAAAUAGAUACCACGAGUAACAGAAACACGUAUGGUUAUUAUCGCUGCUCAUUGGCAACGCAAGACACAACAACAGAGUCGGCUACCACUACCAGAACGACAAAAAAACACUGCAAGAAAGGCUAAGGAGGCAACGAUUCAUGGCC